UUUAUUUUAUUAGAGGAACCUGUCUUUUAAUCGAUAAUCCACGAUAUUUUUUACAUCUGUUAAAAUUUUAUAUACCUCCAUCUCUAGGGUUAAUAUUUAUAUUUUUCCCUCAAUAGAUUUCUAAAAGGUUAGGUAAAGGUGUAGACUAUGCGGAUGAUCAUGAUGGGUUACAUUAAAUUUUAUUUAAGGAUUAUUCUUUAAAAAGUUAUUUGAAAAAGGAUUUGUCAGUAAUUUUUGAAUAAUAUUCUAUACUGAACAAGAUAAUAAAUGUGCACACAUCGCCAUCGCUCUA
Molecule: ribosomal RNA, 292 nt
Filed under: Cyrtophora moluccensis
Lineage: Eukaryota; Metazoa; Arthropoda; Arachnida; Araneae; Araneidae
Description: partial 12S ribosomal RNA
Source: RNAcentral